Molecule: long non-coding RNA, 928 nt
Organism: Acanthopagrus latus (yellowfin seabream)
Lineage: Eukaryota; Metazoa; Chordata; Actinopteri; Spariformes; Sparidae
Exons: 3
Source: RefSeq, a predicted model, not a curated record
ACACACACACACAAACUGCUGCCCAUAGCAACUCCAGUGGCACCCGCACAAGGCUUAAUGUGACACUAACUCAUUCUGCAGAGAACAGGGUGUCCAGCCGCGCGCACACACACAGACACAGACACACACACACACAUAGUUGGUGCUGCAGGGAGGCUGUCACUAAGACCAGUCUCACUUUGAGGUAUCCAUUAUCUGAAGCUUAUUUAUUGUUUGUUUAUGUGCCUCUUUUGUUUGUUCUGUGUUUGCUGCUGCAGAGUCACUCCAGCCCUCCUUUCACCGUGGCUUUCAGACCCCUCACAUACUCCUUCGCUACCCUCUCUCUCUCCCUAUCCCUUCUUUCUCUAUGUUGCGCGAGCUCCUGGGGAGGGAUCGAUGACUGCCUUUCUGCACAGGCCACUCUGAAGCGGUCGAUCGCCUGGUGGCUCUGGCGGCUCUGCCGUGGAAGUGCGCUGUGUGCUUUGCCGAGGUGGCAGAGCGCCACUGAGAACAGCGUAGACGCCAUUCCAGAGCUGUGCUCAACGGUGGGCUGGUCGAUCAGGCACAGAGUUAAGUGCACCCCCAGAGAGUGAGGAUGGGGUUGGAGGGCUUAGACAGAGGAAGAGAAGGUGGAGGAAGAGGAGGAGGAGGAGGCUGGGAGCAGGGUGAGAUGCACUCUGAUUAGAGGGCCAGGUGUGUGGCAGGUGCAGCAGGUGCUUCUGGGUAUCAGGUUCUUGUUUCAGGGAGAGAUGUGUGAGAACACGCAUGCACAUGUGUGUCUUUGAGCGUAUGUGUGACGUUAGUGGAUGUAUCCACCUGAUCACUGUCACCUUGAAUCACCCAGCAGCAAAGCUCCGGACAAAGGAAAGAAGGUGAUUUUGGAUCUUGUGUCACUGGCUCGUGUUCUCACCUGUGAGCAGUACGAGGGCGGCCAGGCAGGCGAAGGCGG